AGAAGAAGAACUCUCAGGAAGUUUGAAAAGAAGCAAGCCGUCCGCAUUCAUUCAAUCUCACAUCCGACCACUCAAACUAACCCUAACCCUGCAUUCCAUUGUUUCCAUCAUGGGAAAUCUAAGUGACGCUCUCAAAUUAACAGGAACAUUGCGCAGAAGAUAUGUCCUGGGCAAUGGACUGAGAAAACGGGCAGAGAUUUGGAGGUAUUUGUGCAUGCUCUAUAUUACAGUUGAAAAGUGUAUAACAGCUUUCCAAUGCUGUUACUUGUGGCGAACACCUUUUUGCUUGAGUUGAUGCGUGCCCGCAGGUGGAAUAAUGUCACAUGUCACACACAUUUUCUGUUGUUUUGAUUUAUUUACUCAUUCAUCAUUUUAUGUGCGCACCUCUCCUAAUCAACCCACCCAUUAAAUAGACGGGCACAAUAGCACCAUCUGCUGGCACAAAAAAUACAUAACAAUAAACUGCAAAACCCCAAUCUGGCUCCUACAAAGUGUAUGUGACAAGAUGAUUAACGUUUGCUUUUGUUAAAUCAGGGCUUCCCCAGCCAGGACUUCGGCUCAGACUGUGGCAUAUUCAUGUUGAUGGUAGGUCAUAACGAGCUGUAAUGCACAAAUAUUGUAUCUAGAAUAACUUUCCAACAUGGACUUUUUUAAAGUUAUCUCACAUGUUGUCUCAUAAUUUUUUUUUUAAAGUCUGCCAUGUACAUCGUUAUGGAGUCACAGUUUGACUACUCAGUUGUAAGUACUUUUCAACAUGCAGUGUCAUCCUCAAGAUUGUAUUUUGUAUUGUGCACUAAAAUGAAAUACAAACAACAAUUUCAGCAUGACAUGCCUGUUUGGCGGCGAUGGUGGUGCCUGUUGCUCCUGGAGAACAAUUCUUUGAACAGGUAGACAGUUUAAGUAAACUAGAUGUCCUAAUUAACUGGAAGACAAUCAAUAUAUUGUACUUAAAGACAUAUUGUCAUUACAGUUGUGGGAAAAUCUUCGCCCACUGGACCAAAGAAUGUCAAGAGCUCAUUGCUGGAAAGCAU
Non-coding RNA from Xyrichtys novacula (pearly razorfish), 1031 nucleotides. The record is from the annotation of a GenBank genome assembly. NCBI's taxonomy places the organism in Eukaryota, Metazoa, Chordata, Actinopteri, Labriformes, Labridae.